AAAAAGCUCGUAGUUGGAUCUCAGCUCCGGCCGGACGGUCCGCCUACCGGUGGUUACUGUUCGCUGCCGAGCGUUCAGGCGGUUAUUCUUGAUGAUCUUCACCGGUUGUCUCGGGUGACCGCCAAGUUUACUUUGAAAAAAUUAGAGUGCUCAAAGCAGGCGUGACGCCUGAAUAAUUGUGCAUGGAAUAAUGGAAUAGGACCUCGGUUCUAUUUUGUUGGUUUUCGGAUCCCGAGGUAAUGAUUAAGAGGGACAGACGGGGGCAUUCGUAUUGCGACGCUAGAGGUGAAAUUCUUGGACCGUCGCAAGACGAACUACUGCGAAAGCAUUUGCCAAGAAUGUUUCCAUUAAUCAAGAACGAAAGUUAGAGGUUCGAAGGCGAUCAGAUACCGCCCUAGUUCUAACCAUAAACGAUGCCAGCCAGCGAUCCGGCUGUGUUCCUCAAAUGACACGCCGGGCAGCUUCCGGGAAACCAAAGCUUUUGGGUUCCGGGGGAAGUAUGGUUGCAAAGCUGAAACUUAAAGGAAUUGACGGAAGGGCACCACCAGGAUUGGAGCCUGCGGCUUAAUUUGACUCAACACGGGAAAACUUACCCGGCCCGGACACAGGAAGGAUUGACAGAUUAAGAGCUCUUUCUUGAUUCUGUGGGUGGUGGUGCAUGGCCGUUCUUAGUUGGUGGGGCGACUUGUCUGGUUAAUUCCGAUAACGAACGAGACUCUAGCCUACUAAAUAGACGUUCCCAUCAUUUACUGUGGGACGUUCUUCUUAGAGGGACAAGCGGCGUUUAGCCGCACGAGACAGAGCAAUAACAGGUCUGAGAUGCCCUUAGAUGUCCGGGGCCGCACGCGCGCUACAUUGAAGGAAUCAGCGUGUGCUUUCCCUGUCCGAGAGGACUGGGUAACCCGUUGAAACUCCUUCGUGCUGGGGAUUGGCCAAUGUAACUGAGGCCAUGAACGAGGAAUUCCCAGUAAGCACGAGUCAUCAGCUCGUGUUGAUUACGUCCCUGCCCUUUGUGCACACCGCCCGUCGCUACUACCGAUUGAGUUAUUUAGUGAGGUCUUCGGACUGGCGCUCGGAUUGGCCUUCGCGGUCGAGCCGGUGUGCCGGAAAGAUGACCGAACUUGAUUACUUAGAGGAAGUAAAAGUCGUAACAAGGUUUUC
This 1161-nucleotide ribosomal RNA is filed under the name Araneidae sp. Halmahera. RNAcentral's name for it is "SSU rRNA". It matches the Rfam family "Eukaryotic small subunit ribosomal RNA", at positions 621 to 1804 of the family's 1831-position model. The record is from RNAcentral. Lineage: Eukaryota; Metazoa; Arthropoda; Arachnida; Araneae; Araneidae.